AGACUUUGAUCAUGGCUCAGAUUGAACGCUAGCGGGAUGCUUUACACAUGCAAGUCGAACGGCAGCAUGAGAGAGCUUGCUCUCUUGAUGGCGAGUGGCGGACGGGUGAGUAAUGUAUCGGAACGUGCCCGGUAGUGGGGGAUAACUACGCGAAAGCGUAGCUAAUACCGCAUAUUCUCUACGGAGGAAAGAGGGGGAUUGUAAGACCUCUUGCUACCGGAGCGGCCGAUAUCAGAUUAGCUAGUUGGUGGGGUAACGGCCUACCAAGGCGGUGAUCUGUAGCUGGUUUGAGAGGACGACCAGCCACACUGGGACUGAGACACGGCCCAGACUCCUACGGGAGGCAGCAGUGGGGAAUUUUCGACAAUGGGGGGAACCCUGAUCGAGCCAUCUCGCGUGUGGGACGAAGGCCUUCGGGUUGUAAACCACUUUUCUCAACGAAGAAAAGUCUUAGGCUAAUACCUUAAGAUGCUGACGGUAGUUGAGGAAUAAGCACCGGCUAACUACGUGCCAGCAGCCGCGGUAAUACGUAGGGUGCGAGCGUUAAUCGGAAUUACUGGGCGUA
Molecule: ribosomal RNA, 565 nt
Filed under: uncultured bacterium
Lineage: Bacteria
Description: bacterial SSU rRNA
Rfam family: Bacterial small subunit ribosomal RNA
Source: RNAcentral